RNAcentral lists this ribosomal RNA (391 nucleotides) under uncultured bacterium. RNAcentral's name for it is "bacterial SSU rRNA". It matches the Rfam family "Bacterial small subunit ribosomal RNA", at positions 28 to 420 of the family's 1533-position model. The record is from RNAcentral.
GACGAACGCUGGCGGCGUGCUUAACACAUGCAAGUCGAGCGGUAAGGCCCUUUCGGGGGUACACGAGCGGCGAACGGGUGAGUAACACGUGGGUGACCUGCCUUUAGCUCUGGGAUAAGCCUGGGAAACUGGGUCUAAUACCGGAUAUGACCCUAUGGCGCAUGUUGUGGGGUGGAAAGCCUUGUGCGGCUAGGGAUGGGCCCGCGGCCUAUCAGCUUGUUGGUGGGGUGAUGGCCUACCAAGGCGACGACGGGUAGCCGGCCUGAGAGGGCGGCCGGCCACACUGGGACUGAGACACGGCCCAGACUCCUACGGGAGGCAGCAGUGGGGAAUCUUGCGCAAUGGGCGAAAGCCUGACGCAGCGACGCCGCGUGAGGGAUGACGGCCUCGG